GGUCCCUUUCGUUGUCCUGGGGUAAUUGAGCUGUUCUGCCUGAUCUCAUCACUGGGCUUUUUUUCCCCAUUAGGGCUACUUCAGUCCCUUGUUAUAAACAUGCUUAUCAGCCAAACUUACCACUCCUAGUGUACUAACCUGAGGACACGACCAAGGGAGCACAGCUGAAGCACCGGAUAGCAACUCUAAGCAGACAGGAGUCUAGCAUGGCUGUCUUCUCAGAGGCUAACUCACACAGCAGCUAGCUCUCACAGAUGGAGACACAUCCAAACAGUGGAUGGAGCUUGGGGACGCUCAUGGAAGAAUAAAAGGAAGGAUUGUCAACUCCACAGGAAGGCCAACAGUCAACUAACUCAGACCCUUGGGGCUCUCAGAGACUGAACCACCAACUAAAGAACAAAC
This is a long non-coding RNA of Mus musculus (house mouse), 402 nucleotides long. RefSeq annotates it as predicted gene, 41075. NCBI's taxonomy places the organism in Eukaryota, Metazoa, Chordata, Mammalia, Rodentia, Muridae. The transcript has 3 exons. The record is from RefSeq and is a predicted model, not a curated record.